GAUUCAGGAGACUUGUACACGGUCCAGAGGACGCCUUCCGGCGAUCCUCCGGCGGUCGUGAGACGGGCCCGCCGAAGCAACAGAGGGUUGGUAAACAACGGGUUGGGAGGUCGGGCCUUGGCAGACCCUCACUCGUUAAUGAUCCUUCCGCAGGUUCACCUACGGAAACCUUGUUACGACUUUUACUUCCUCUAAAAUGACCAAGAAU
RNAcentral lists this unclassified non-coding RNA (208 nucleotides) under uncultured fungus. RNAcentral's name for it is "partial contains 18S rRNA, ITS1, 5.8S rRNA, ITS2, 28S rRNA". Lineage: Eukaryota; Fungi. The record is from RNAcentral.